GUAUUUGCUUUGGCAACACAUAUAUUAAAAUUGGGACAAUACAGAGAUUUGCAUGGCCCCUGUGCAAGUAUGGCAUGCAAAUUUGUGAAGUGUUCCAUAUUUUA
Puma concolor (puma) is the source of this 104-nucleotide small nuclear RNA. The record is from RefSeq and is a predicted model, not a curated record. Lineage: Eukaryota; Metazoa; Chordata; Mammalia; Carnivora; Felidae.